UACGUAGGGCGCAAGCGUUGUCCGGAAUUAUUGGGCGUAAAGAGCUCGUAGGCGGCCAGUUGCGUCUGCUGUGAAAUCCCGGGGCUCAACCCCGGGCGUGCAGUGGAUACGGGCUGGCUAGAGGCAGGCAGGGGAGAACGGAAUUCCCGGUGUAGCGGUGAAAUGCGCAGAUAUCGGGAGGAACACCAAUGGCGAAGGCAGCUCGCUGGGACGGUACUGACGCUGAGACGCGAAAGCGUGGGGAGCAAACAGG
Molecule: ribosomal RNA, 253 nt
Filed under: uncultured bacterium
Lineage: Bacteria
Description: partial 16S ribosomal RNA
Rfam family: Bacterial small subunit ribosomal RNA
Source: RNAcentral